AUGGAAUUAUUCAACCGGACAGGCUCAGGCUGUUCCCUAAAACAAUUUGCAAAGUGCAAAUAUCAUCCUUGAUGUAUCAAGACUGGAUGCUGCUAAAAAAAAAAAAAAAGAAAGAAAGAAAGAAAGAAAAGAAAAAAGAAAAGAGAAAAGAAAGAAAAGUGGAACACUGAUUGGCUUUUUUGAUGAUAUUAAGGAAUCAUCGUUACUUUUCCCUCUAAGAAUUUGGCCUGUUUUAGGAAGGAAGGCAAGCCCUUCUCCAGGAAGCCACUCAUUACUGAGUGCAGGCAAGUAUGUCAUCUCAGUGCAAGAGUUGUGGGAGGAAGCCAUAUGAUAAUUGUCUUUCUCUGAUGAACUUAUUUGGCUCAGCAUAAUACCCUCCAGUUCCAUCCGGGGCGAUAUAAAUGGCUCUUUUCACAAUGUGACUGGAACUUCUACCAAGAAGGAUGACUCUCUUCCCUCUCCUUGGAACAAACAGAGACUUGUGACUGCCCUGGCCAAGGGAGUAGGCAGAUGGGAUGCUGUGUGAUUUCUAAGGAUGCCUUAAAGGCGAAGUUUCAUUUCCGCCUCUGGAAUCCCAGACGUUCCACGCUGUCCAGGAAAUAGAUGUCACUUCUCCACCGGAUCCUACAAGAAAUGAGAUCAAUAGGGUGGAAAAAGAGGAAAGGCAUGAUUUUGAAUUAGCCACGGCUGUGUGUCCACAGUUUUCCUGCUACACCUGUGUUUCUUCUUUGAGCUCCUGUUCAGACACUCUGUGCCGGAACCAGGUCAUGUAGGAGAGGGACUGAGGGGACCUUGCAGACUGGUAAUAAGCAGUUGUUAUUGAGCUAAAGGAAUCCAGUUCUAAAAGUAGUAAGGGGUCAGGAAUCCAUUUGCUACCUGUCAUUCCCGCUGCCACAGUCCCAAUCCUACGAUGUCAGCUUCUCCUCUCAGGAAUAUUUCCAUGGCUUCUAGGAGACAACUGCUACUUGACCAAAAAUAUGCUUUCUCCUCUUCGUUUAUUGAUAACCGAAAGCCAGUUGGUACUGGCAACAUGCCAAACUAAAAACUGCUUUCCCAGCCUCCCUUGGAGAUUGGGGAAUGCAUUAGCUAUCUGUUGCUGUGUAACAAAUCCCCACAAGAUUGGCCUAAAACAACACACAGUUGUUAUCAUAGAGUUCCAAUGGGUCAGGGACCUGAGCAUAUUUUCCUGGGUCCUUUCCCUCAUGCUCUUUCACCAGGCUGCGGUCAAGGUGUCAGCCAAAGCUGGGGUCAAUGGAAGGUUCCACUGGGGCAGACUGUGCUUCCAGACUCACGUGGUUGUUGGCAGAACUCAGUUCCCUUGGGGGCCGUUUUAUUGAGGGACUCAGUUCCUCGCUGACUGUUGGCCAGAGGGUGCCACACAAAGAAGGAAAUAUUCUCUCCAGUAGGGCUGCUUAUACCAUCCAAGUGUGCAAGGGGAAAAGGCAGUAGAGUCUGUUAGCAAGGCAGAGGGUACAGUCUCUUGUAACGUAAUCGUGGAAGUGACUCAACCUUUGCUGCGUUCCGUUGUUUAGAAGCACGUCGCGUCUAGCCACAUGGCAGAGGGUGCUAUUGUCUGAGCUUCUGGGCUCAGCUUUGCUUAUGGUACAAUCCUUGGACUUUCCAGCUACAGGAGAUAAUAAUCUUCUUCCCUCUUUUUGGCUUAAGCCCACCUGAGCUGAAUUUUCCAUCACUUGCAACCGAAAGAGAGUAUCCUCAUACUGUAGGCUUUAAUAAAUAUUUGAUGAGUGAAUUUAAAGGAAGUGCUGAAGAAUUGAUAAGCAAUUUUAGAACUCUGAAGGCUGGAGAUCCUAGAAAUAACACCCAGAGGUUGGCAAACUUUUUCUGUAAACAGCCAGCUAGUAAAUAUUUUAGGCUUUGCGGACCACACAGUCUCUGUCACGUCUAAUCAACUCUGCCACUGCAGCUCGAAAGCUGCUAUUGAUGAUAUGCAGAUGAGCAUGGCUAUGUUCCAAUAAAACUUUACUUACAAGAUUAGGCAGCAGGUGAGACUCAUCC
This is a long non-coding RNA of Canis lupus familiaris (dog), 2016 nucleotides long. RefSeq lists it as uncharacterized. Lineage: Eukaryota; Metazoa; Chordata; Mammalia; Carnivora; Canidae. The transcript has 4 exons. The record is from RefSeq and is a predicted model, not a curated record.